Molecule: long non-coding RNA, 498 nt
Organism: Hippocampus zosterae (dwarf seahorse)
Lineage: Eukaryota; Metazoa; Chordata; Actinopteri; Syngnathiformes; Syngnathidae
Exons: 3
Source: RefSeq, a predicted model, not a curated record
AUACUAUCAGCCUUGGUGCAUGCAAACCUGAAACCUUCUUGGGUGAGAAGUGAAAACUUCAAUGAUGACUGCUUGUCUCAUCAUCACACUUGUGAUUCUUAAUCUGAUGCUUCCAUGAGAAUCUUUGGCCACAAACUGCGCAGGCAAAAGGUUUCUCACCAGUGUGUAUUCUUGUGUGUAUUUUUAAGCUUGCCUUCUCAGUAAAUCUUUGGCCACAAACUGCGCAGGCAAAAGGUUUCUCACCAGUGUGGGCUCUUACGUGGUUUGUUAACUUUCUCUUCUCAGAAAAUCUUUGCCCACAAACUGUGCAAGCAAAAGGUUUCUCACCAGUGUGGGUUCUUGUGUGACAUGUUAAGUUUCCCUUGCGAGAGAAUAUUUGGCCACAAACUGCGCAGGUAAACGGUUUCUCACCAGUGUGUAUUCUUGUGUGUAUUUUUAAGCUUCCCUUUUCAGAAAAUCUUUGCCCACAAACUGCGCAGGCAAAAGGUUUCUCACCAG